RNAcentral lists this microRNA (19 nucleotides) under Rattus norvegicus (Norway rat). RNAcentral describes it as "rno-miR-1912-3p". Lineage: Eukaryota; Metazoa; Chordata; Mammalia; Rodentia; Muridae. The record is from miRBase by way of RNAcentral.
CACAGAACAUGCAGUGAGA